This 1033-nucleotide ribosomal RNA is filed under the name Ceratomyxa sp. Olo-36. RNAcentral describes it as "SSU rRNA". It matches the Rfam family "Eukaryotic small subunit ribosomal RNA", at positions 789 to 1773 of the family's 1831-position model. The record is from RNAcentral. Lineage: Eukaryota; Metazoa; Cnidaria; Myxozoa; Bivalvulida; Ceratomyxidae.
GUACGCUCGUGUGUAAUAGCAUGGAACAGAUAACUGACCUACCGAAUUUACUUUCGGCAGCCAAAUUGUAUUUGUAUGGUUUGGUUGGAUUGACUUGUUGGUUGUUAGUCAGGUCGCAUCGAUUAAAAGGGACGUUUGAGGGCAUUGGUACUUUGUGGCGAGAGGUGAAAUUCUUAGACCCACAAAAGACUGACUGGUGCGAAAGCGUUUGUCAAGAGUGUUUUCUUUAAUCAAGAACGAAGGAGAUAGGUUCGAAGACGAUCAGAUACCGUCCUAGUUGUCUCAGAUAACGAUGCUAGCACAGGAUCAGGUCGACCACCCUUGGAUGGGAAGAGUCAACUUGAUCCUGCCGGGAAACCUCAAGCUUUCGAGUUACGGGGAGAGUAUAGCUUCAAGGCGGGAAUUUAAAGAAAUUGACGGAGAGGCACCACCAGGAGUGGAGCCUGCGGCUUAAUUUGACUCAACACGGGGAAACUCACCAGGUCCAGACAUUGGCAGGAUUGACAGGCUGGUAGACCUUUCAUGAUUCGGUGGAUGGUGGUGCAUGGCCGUUCUUAGUUGGUGGAGUGAUCUGUCAGGUCUAUUCCGGUAACGAGCGAGACCGCGGUCAGUAGUUUUCAGAAGCCAGGUUGACUCGCGUCCCAGGCCAUUUAUAUACUGUAUAAGUGGUUUUGGCUGGUUUUUGGACUACUGAGACUACUGGACUUUAAGCCAGAGGAAGCGUGGCAAUAACAGGUCUGUGAUGCCCUUCGAUGUCCUGGGCUGCACGCGCGCUACAAUGGCAGCAGUAGAGAGUGGUUGGCUAGAGAUGGCCGACUAACCUGCAAAUAGCUGUCGUGAUAGGGAUUGUGCCUUGGAAUUAUUGCACAUGAAAGAGGAAUUCCUCGUAAGCACUGGUCAUCAGCCAGUGUUGAAUACGUCUCUGCCUCUUGUACACACCGCCCGUCGCUACUACCGAUUGAAUAUCAUCUAGAGCUGGUUGGACGACCGCUUUUUUUAAAAGCGUGUUGAAAGAUCGACGAUGGAUGUUAUU